UGGGGGAUAUUGCACAAUGGGGGGAACCCUGAUGCAGCGACGCCGCGUGGAUGAAGAAGCGCCUCGGCGCGUAAAGCCCUGUCAGCAGGGAAGAAAAUGACGGUACCUGAAGAAGAAGCCCGGCUAACUACGUGCC
RNAcentral lists this ribosomal RNA (136 nucleotides) under uncultured bacterium. RNAcentral's name for it is "partial 16S ribosomal RNA". It matches the Rfam family "Bacterial small subunit ribosomal RNA", at positions 355 to 509 of the family's 1533-position model. The record is from RNAcentral.